RNAcentral lists this ribosomal RNA (406 nucleotides) under uncultured bacterium. Its description in RNAcentral is "partial 16S ribosomal RNA". It matches the Rfam family "Bacterial small subunit ribosomal RNA", at positions 29 to 526 of the family's 1533-position model. The record is from RNAcentral.
AUUGAACGCUGGCGGCAGGCCUAACACAUGCAAGUCGAGCGAGCGGCGGACGGGGGAGAGAUGUCUGGGGGACUGCGUCUGAGGGAGGGAUAAAUACUGGAAAAGGUGGCUAAUACACCGUACCAUCAGGUGUGCGCACAGGGGAUUAGAGAGUAGGUGGGGUAACGGCUCACCUAGGCGACGAUCCCUAGCUGGUCUGAGAGGAUGACCAGCCACACUGGAACUGAGACACGGUCCAGACUCCUACGUGAGGCAGCAGUGGGGAAUAUUGCACAAGGGGCGCAAGCCUGAUGCAGCCAUGCCGCGUGUGUGAAGAAGGCCUUCGGGUUGUAAAGCACUUUCAGCGGGGAGGCGUUACCCGCAGAAGAAGCACCGGCUAACUCCGUGCCAGCAGCCGCGGUAAUAC